UACGGAGGGUGCAAGCGUUAUCCGGAAUCAUUGGGUUUAAAGGGUCCGCAGGCGGACUUAUAAGUCAGUGGUGAAAUCCUACAGCUUAACUGUAGAACUGCCAUUGAUACUGUAAGUCUUGAAUUCGGUCGAAGUGGGCGGAAUAUGACAUGUAGCGGUGAAAUGCUUAGAUAUGUCAUAGAACACCGAUAGCGAAGGCAGCUCACUAGGCCUGGAUUGACGCUCAGGGACGAAAGCGUGGGGAGCAAACAGG
This 253-nucleotide ribosomal RNA is filed under the name uncultured Fluviicola sp. RNAcentral describes it as "partial 16S ribosomal RNA". It matches the Rfam family "Bacterial small subunit ribosomal RNA", at positions 524 to 776 of the family's 1533-position model. Lineage: Bacteria; Pseudomonadati; Bacteroidota; Flavobacteriia; Flavobacteriales; Crocinitomicaceae. The record is from RNAcentral.